Molecule: long non-coding RNA, 436 nt
Filed under: Panax ginseng (ginseng)
Lineage: Eukaryota; Viridiplantae; Streptophyta; Magnoliopsida; Apiales; Araliaceae
Description: long non-coding RNA (PGIN_LNC000358)
Source: RNAcentral
UUUAUACUUAUGUGACAUUCUUGAGUCAUAGUUAUAUGAAAUGUUUGUGAACCCCCCAGCGAAUGGACGCCAAAGGUCUGACUAGGGUAAGUUCUUAAACUCAUAUAAUUGUGGUCAAGUUAUGAACUCGUAAGUUUGGUUUUAUGAACUAGGGUAUAGUAAAGUUGUGAAUGAAGCAUUGAGGAUGAUAGAAAUAGAUAGAAUUAUUAAGCAAUGGAUCAGUAGAGAAAGAGAAGAGAAGUAAAUAGAAUUUGAAAUCCCAGUAUUUCGUUAUUAAAACAAAAUCUUGAUUUUAAGACUGAGCAGAACAACCUUUUAUAUAAAGGGAAUAUUUUAAUUUGAGUAUCUUUGAUAGAUACCCGAGAAAUUUGAGUAUCUUUGAUAGAUACCCGAGAAAUUUGAGUAUCUUUGAUAGAUACCCGAGAAAUUUGAGUAU